GACGAACGCUGGCGGCGUGCCUAAUACAUGCAAGUUGAGCGCUGAAGGUUGGUACUUGUACCAACUGGAUGAGCAGCGAACGGGUGAGUAACGCGUGGGGAAUCUGCCUUUGAGCGGGGGACAACAUUUGGAAACAAAUGCUAAUACCGCAUAAAAACUUUAAACACAAUUUUUAAGUUUGAAAGAUGCAAUUGCAUCACUCAAAGAUGAUCCCGCGUUGUAUUAGCUAGUUGGUGAGGUAAAGGCUCACCAAGGCGAUGAUACAUAGCCGACCGGAGAGGGUGAUCGGCCACAUUGGGACUGAGACACGGCCCAAACGCCUACGGUAGGCAGCAGUAGGGAAUCGUCGGCAAUGGACGAAAGUCUGACCGAGCAACGCCGCGGGAGUGAAGAAGGUUUUCGGAUCGUAAAACUCUGUUGGUAGAGAAGAACGUUGGUGAGAGUGGAAAGCUCAUCAAGUGACGGUAACUACCCAGAAAGGGACGGCUAACUACGUG
Molecule: ribosomal RNA, 497 nt
Filed under: uncultured bacterium
Lineage: Bacteria
Description: partial 16S ribosomal RNA
Rfam family: Bacterial small subunit ribosomal RNA
Source: RNAcentral